Ylistrum balloti is the source of this 298-nucleotide long non-coding RNA. RefSeq lists it as uncharacterized. NCBI's taxonomy places the organism in Eukaryota, Metazoa, Mollusca, Bivalvia, Pectinida, Pectinidae. The transcript is spliced from 2 exons. The record is from RefSeq and is a predicted model, not a curated record.
GUCAGCUAUCGGAACUCUUUUGUGUUUUGACAGCAACGUUUACCUGUAUAAACAGCAACACGCCUGUAAUGAAAAUCGCCAAUUAUCCAAUGAUGUCUCCAUUGUCUCAAUCCGAGAUAGCCUCUGCCGUGAACAAUAAGAUGAGAACUCUCACUCUGCUGCUUUGGCAACACAACAGCAAACUGCCGAGAUGCAGAAGGCCUGUAAUAAUUUCAUGUUUAUAAACUCUUUUACCAUAUACUGUAUUAUGUUUGAUGUAUUGUUGUUAAAACAGUGAAUAAAUAAUGUAAUUAUAUAA